RNAcentral lists this unclassified non-coding RNA (1194 nucleotides) under Hevea brasiliensis (rubber tree). Lineage: Eukaryota; Viridiplantae; Streptophyta; Magnoliopsida; Malpighiales; Euphorbiaceae. The record is from RNAcentral.
UGUGGGGGCUUUAGAAAUAAAGCCAACAGGAGUUGUGAUGGCAAUGGAAGUAGACAAAGGAUUAGCAACAACAGAAGUAAUAAUUGGUUCCACAUGAGGUGGAGGUGGCAAAAUAUUCAUCCCAGGAUUCUCAGAAGCUGAAGUCUUUUUUCUUUUUCUAGGUUUUGGAUCAGCAGAAGUUAGAUUGCCCGAUGAUGUUACCAUUUUCGUAUCAAGCACAGAAGUUGUCCCAGUAAAAACACUAGCACAGGCUCCACUCUGAACCAUGGGACUUGUCAGCUUUGCACCAGAUAAAUGGGGCACAGAUGAUUCUUUUACAGGUGUCAAUUGAACAGUUUCAGUGAUAGGCGAUUGCACAGAAAAACGACCACUUACGUCAAGAGUAGAAGUCUGUGGAGAUGCAACCCAAGGGCNGGGAGCCUGAGAUAGCCAAGAAGGGCUAUGUCCAACAAAAUUCCUGAUAACCGGAGCUUGAUGAGGAUGCAAAGGAGAAAGUGCUCGUUGAUAAUCCAUAACUGGACUCCUUGUCAUGCCACUUGUUUGCAUGGUGUCACUAGGAGUAGGCAUGCUCCAAAGUGGUGAAGAGAGGGGUACAAUUGGAUUCACAAUUGUAGGAGUACCCUUGCUGCUGCCACGAACAACAGGUGGAGAGACUGCUUUACUUUGAAGUGCAUUUUGUUUAAUUGAUUGCUCGGGAGCACUAGCACCUGAACGGGAUUGCAAAGGUGUCUCAGGGGUAAUGAGAGGCGACUUUUGACCGUGAAGCCUUUCUAUACACAAGCGCCAGGUAUUCUCCCAAAUGCUCCUACCACCAUCGGGUCCUCCAAAUGCAGAUAUCAUAUAUGCUUCAUCAGGUGGCGUUCCUUGAAUCAAAGCUCCAUAAACAAAUAUCUGAGCCCGCAAUUGCACUUGCUGUAAAUCUGUGAAAGGUUGCUGAAACACUGCAGCUAGAGACACUGAAGAAUUCAAAUCUGGCAGACCAGAAGUCGAUGGUGCAAGAACAAAUGGUUUUACAUUACAGGAGUCCAAAUGUCCAUAGCGUUGCAUCUCAUUGGAUUGCACAAGUUGAGAAACACCAGAUGUGCUCAGGGAAACAUUGGUUAUUUUGUCUCCUCUAUCUGAUCUCAUAGAUGAAGCUACUUUAACAGGAUUUCCCUUCUUAGCAGUUUCUUUUGCUGUCGACUUACCUGAAGC